This 445-nucleotide ribosomal RNA is filed under the name uncultured bacterium. RNAcentral describes it as "partial 16S ribosomal RNA". It matches the Rfam family "Bacterial small subunit ribosomal RNA", at positions 354 to 796 of the family's 1533-position model. The record is from RNAcentral.
GUGAGGAAUAUUGCGCAAUGGAGGCAACUCUGACGCAGCCAUGCCGCGUGCAGGAAGAAGGCGCUACGCGUUGUAAACUGCUUUUAACCGGGAAGAAACCCCAGGACGUGUCCUGGGUUGACGGUACCGGAGGAAUAAGCACCGGCUAACUUCGUGCCAGCAGCCGCGGUAAUACGAAGGGUGCAAGCGUUAUCCGGAUUCAUUGGGUUUAAAGGGUGCGUAGGCGGAGCGUUAAGUCAGUGGUGAAAUCCUGCAGCUUAACUGUAGACUUGCCAUUGAUACUGGCGCUCUUGAGUGCGCUUGAAGUGGGCGGAAUGUGCCGUGUAGCGGUGAAAUGCUUAGAUAUGGCACAGAACACCAAUUGCGAAGGCAGCUCACUAAGGCGAUACUGACGCUGAGGUACGAAAGCAUGGGGAUCGAACAGGAUUAGAAACCCGUGUAGUCC